AAAAAAAAAAAAAUUCAACCCAGAAAAACCAAAAACUGAAGUAGAGGUGAGGAAUAUUAAUAGGAUUUCAAUUUGGAGAAUUUGAUUUUGUUGUUGUUGAAGAACUAUGUUGCUUUGGUCUUUGCUGCGUUGUUCUUGUCGAUUAUGUGUUGUUGAAGUACUAGUGUUUUUCAAUUUGGAUCUCUGAGGGAGGAGGUGGUGAUGAUUGAAAGAAGUUGAAGAAAAAAAUGAUUUUGUGAAGGU
RNAcentral lists this long non-coding RNA (243 nucleotides) under Trifolium pratense (red clover). RNAcentral's name for it is "long non-coding RNA (TPRA_LNC012506)". Lineage: Eukaryota; Viridiplantae; Streptophyta; Magnoliopsida; Fabales; Fabaceae. The record is from RNAcentral.